UUGAUCCUGGCUCAGGAUGAACGCUAGCGGGAGGCUUAAUACAUGCAAGUCGAGGGGCAGCAUGGGGCUCCGGCCCUGAUGGCGACCGGCGCACGGGUGAGUAACGCGUACGAAACCUGCCUCCAAGCGGGGAAUAGCCCCGGGAAACUGGGAUUAAUGCCCCAUAGGACCAUAAUGCCGCCUGGCAAAGUGGUUAAAGCUUCGGCGCUUGGAGAUGGUCGUGCGUCCCAUUAGCUAGUUGGCGGGGUAACAGCCCACCAAGGCGACGAUGGGUAGGGGGCGUGAGAGCGUGGCCCCCCACACGGGUACUGAGACACGGACCCGACUCCUACGGGAGGCAGCAGUAAGGAAUAUUGGACAAUGGGGGCAACCCUGAUCCAGCCAUCCCGCGUGCAGGAUGACGGCCCUACGGGUUGUAAACUGCUUUUGCGAGGGAAGAAACGGGCCCACUUGUGGGCUUUUGACGGUACCUCGAGAAUAAGCACCGGCUAACUCCGUGCCAGCAGCCGCGGUAAUACGGAGGGUGCAAGCGUUAUCCGGAAUCACUGGGUCUAAAGGGUGCGUAGGCGGCAUGGUAAGUCAGAGGUGAAAGGCCGUCGCUCAACGAUGGAAUUGCCUUUGAAACUGUCAUGCUUGAAUCAAGUUAAGGCCGGCGGAA
This 658-nucleotide ribosomal RNA is filed under the name uncultured organism. RNAcentral's name for it is "bacterial SSU rRNA". It matches the Rfam family "Bacterial small subunit ribosomal RNA", at positions 13 to 666 of the family's 1533-position model. The record is from RNAcentral.